UGGGGAAUAUUGCACAAUGGGCGCAAGCCUGAUGCAGCCAUGCCGCGUGUAUGAAGAAGGCCUUAGGGUUGUAAAGUACUUUCAGCGGGGAGGAAGGUGAUAAGGUUAAUACCCUUGUCAAUUGACGUUACCCGCAGAAGAAGCACCGGCUAACUCCGUGCCAGCAGCCGCGGUAAUACGGAGGGUGCAAGCGUUAAUUGGAAUUACUGGGCGUAAAGCGCACGCAGGCGGUCAAUUAAGUCAGAUGUGAAAGCCCCGAGCUUAACUUGGGAAUUGCAUCUGAAACUGGUUGGCUAGAGUCUUGUAGAGGGGGGUAGAAUUCCAUGUGUAGCGGUGAAAUGCGUAGAGAUGUGGAGGAAUACCGGUGGCGAAGGCGGCCCCCUGGACAAAGACUGACGCUCAGGUGCGAAAGCGUGGGGAGCAAACA
This 427-nucleotide ribosomal RNA is filed under the name uncultured bacterium. RNAcentral's name for it is "partial 16S ribosomal RNA". It matches the Rfam family "Bacterial small subunit ribosomal RNA", at positions 355 to 774 of the family's 1533-position model. The record is from RNAcentral.